UACGUAGGUGGCAAGCGUUGUCCGGAAUUACUGGGCGUAAAGGGAGCGUAGGCGGUCUUUUAAGUGGGAUGUGAAAUACCCGGGCUCAACCUGGGAAUUGCAUUCCAAACUGGGAGACUAGAGUGCAGGAGAGGAAAGUGGAAUUCCCAGUGUAGCGGUGAAAUGCGUAGAGAUUGGGAGGAACACCAGUGGCGAAGGCGACUUUCUGGACUGUAACUGACGCUGAUGCUCGAGAGCGUGGGGAG
This 245-nucleotide ribosomal RNA is filed under the name uncultured bacterium. RNAcentral describes it as "partial 16S ribosomal RNA". It matches the Rfam family "Bacterial small subunit ribosomal RNA", at positions 524 to 768 of the family's 1533-position model. The record is from RNAcentral.